AUGGCAACAAUGGCGCCCUCAUCUGCUCUGCUGCCACUGCUCCUGCUCCUGCCCCUGCUUCUCCUCUCCGUCGCAUGUACUGCAGGCGCGGCACCGGCAGCAACAGCAACGGUACCAACGAUACCAUCCCAGCCCGGCAAGCCGAACUCGAACAACAAGCAGAAGCAGGGGGGCGCGCCGCUGGGGCCGGCGGUGCGCGCGCUGGUGCAGUCCACCUGCAACGCCACCACCUACUACGACCUGUGCGUGGCCGCGCUCGUGGCGGACCCGGCCAGCUCCACCGCCGACCUCCGCGGCAUGUGCGCCAUCGCCGUCUCCGCGGCGGCCGCCAACGCCUCCGCCACCGCGUCGGCGCUCGCCAACACCACCUGGGCCGCCUCGGGCGCCCCGGAGACGGGCAGCGACGGGCGCGCGCAGCAGGUGCCGGCGCUCCUGACGCGGACUUGCGCCGGCAAGUACGGCGAGGCGCGGGAGGCGCUGCUGGAGGCCCGGGAGUCGGUGGGCGAGGAGGCGUACGACUACGCGUUCGUGCACGUGGGCGCCGCCGCCGAGUACCCCGCGGUGUGCCGGACGCUGUUCCGGAGGAAGCGGGUGCCCUACCCCGUGGAGCUGGCCCGGCGGGAGCAGGCGCUGGAGCACCUCUGCACCGUCGUCAUCGACAUCAUCACGCUCCUCGCCUAG
Molecule: ribosomal RNA, 681 nt
Filed under: Triticum aestivum (bread wheat)
Lineage: Eukaryota; Viridiplantae; Streptophyta; Magnoliopsida; Poales; Poaceae
Description: partial small subunit ribosomal RNA
Source: RNAcentral